UGCUGCAUGUUUUAGGUAACAUUUUAAUGAUACACGUUUUUAAAAAUCUCCAUUAUUAAAAUUAUGCACGUAAGGAUAACUCAUGAGUUUUUUUGGUUGAUUAAAUGACAUUAUUAGUAAUGUCAAAUGGGCGGGCUAUAAAUGGGUGGCCCGUGUCCAAAUAGAUAUGGUCCGAAAUGGACAGACCCAUAUUGAACCAUAAAUAUUUUUUGUCCAAAUGGGUGAGCCCAACUACAUGGCCAAAUUUGGGUUUAACCAGUUGGGCAAUGGGCGGCCCAAUAAGCUUAAAUGUCUAGGGUUAGGAAAUUGGGGGAAAACAUGAUUUCUUUUUUUUUUUCCGUCUCCUGCGAUUCUUCUUCUUCUCCUGCGAUUCUUCUUCUCCUUCUUCGAUUUUCCUUCUCCUUCUUCGAUUCUUCUUCACUUUUCUUCGGUUCUUCUUCGCUCUUCUUCGAUUCUUCUUCGUUGUCUCUGAUUUCGUCAUCUCUCGAGACUCAGAUGGAUCGGUGAAAGUGAAAACAAAUGCUGGACUAGGAGAUCUGACCGCAGGAACAAAUGAUGGAACGAGUUCAUAAAGGCUGAAUGCUCGUGUGGUCUUCUGCAUAAGUAAAAGACAGAAGAAUUCUUUAAUGCACGUAAGCUGGUUAUGGAGAAACCAGUGUGGUUUUAUAUCUUGUGAAAACGAGUCUUAUCAAACCAGGGUAGGCAAUACAUGUGUUUGCUUUUGCUCUUGGCUCAUGUUAAUGAUUGAGUUUAGCCUUUAGUAGAUCAUGUCAAUUUUUUUUCUCUUUGUUUGGUUAGGUGGUGGAAAAUCAUCUAGUUUGAAGCUCUUAUUGUUGUUGCUGUCGUUGCUGUUGCACCUCCCCUUCCCUAUUGCAUUUGAUUGACAAAUGACGAUUUAUCUUUUGAAUUUAUCUUGUGUUUUUUAUAACUUUGAAACAUGAAGUUGAAAACACAAGUAUAUCAUAUUUAUAAAUCUUUUGAACUGUAUAUGACAUCUUUAAAAUUGAAAAACUUAAGAAUU
Brassica napus (rape) is the source of this 1021-nucleotide long non-coding RNA. RefSeq lists it as uncharacterized. Lineage: Eukaryota; Viridiplantae; Streptophyta; Magnoliopsida; Brassicales; Brassicaceae. The record is from RefSeq and is a predicted model, not a curated record. The transcript is spliced from 3 exons.